GCAUUGUGUGUUGUGUGUGAUGAAUUUUGAGGCACUUUUGUUUAUUUAGACUCCACAAGGGGUUUUUUUUUGUUAGGUUGGAUGAUGUAAUGUGCUUUGUUGUGGUCUAUGAUGAUUCAAGUAUGAGACUUGAAUGCAACACUGUGCAAGGCAUUUUUUUGAUCCAUGGUGAGCUUCUGCUUCCUGUUUGCUGCCAACAUGUUGAAAAGGCUGGAAGAUGUUGUUGUUUCAUCAAAAAGCAAGACCUUUUUNUUUUGUAAUGAAUCUAGUGUGUAAUGAAGUUGGUAGAUAUUUUUUUUUUUUUUGUAAUGAAGGCAAUGUGUAAUGAGGCUGGAACAGUGUACUGCCUUCUAUAUUUAAAGAGAUGUUUUUAAUUUCAACCCCCAAAAUCUUGGUGGGAAUGUGAGAUUUAGUGUAAUUCCCUCCAUUCUCAAAAUUUGGUGUAUAAUUUUAAAUUCAUUUCCCACUUUUCACUUUUUAAUCGGUAAGUGUAAAGUGUUUUCAAGUGGUUUCAGAAUUUUAAUUAAUUAAAAAUAUUAAAUAGUUAAAGAAUUUUGGU
This 559-nucleotide long non-coding RNA is filed under the name Salvia miltiorrhiza (redroot sage). RNAcentral's name for it is "long non-coding RNA (SMIL_LNC009883)". The record is from RNAcentral. Lineage: Eukaryota; Viridiplantae; Streptophyta; Magnoliopsida; Lamiales; Lamiaceae.